GACGAACCGUCCAAACGUUAUUCGGACUCACGGGGCUUAAAGGGUGCGUAGGCUGUCCGGUAAGUUGGGUGUGAAAGCCCUCGGCUCAACCGAGGAAUUGCGCCCAAAACUGCCGGGCUCGAGGGAGAUAGAGGUGAGCGGAACUAAGGGUGGAGCGGUGAAAUGCAUUGAUAUCCUUAGGAACACCAGUAGCGAAAGCGGCUCACUGGGUCUCUUCUGACGCUGAGGCACGAAAGCUAGGGGAGCGAACGGG
Molecule: ribosomal RNA, 253 nt
Filed under: uncultured bacterium
Lineage: Bacteria
Description: partial 16S ribosomal RNA
Rfam family: Bacterial small subunit ribosomal RNA
Source: RNAcentral